CAUCUCCUGCAGCAUACGACGGCGGUCUGGUUAAUUUCUUGAGCCUAACGCCAUAACAGGGGGUAGGAUGUCGGGGCCCGUGUGUCGCCUGCAAAAAUGCAAACGCCUAGUGGUUUCGUGCCAGCUCCCACUUGAACCAAUCGGUUCAAGAACGAAGGCAAGCUACGGUGCAGGUGGGAGGUGU
Molecule: non-coding RNA, 184 nt
Filed under: Achromatium sp. WMS2
Lineage: Bacteria; Pseudomonadati; Pseudomonadota; Gammaproteobacteria; Thiotrichales; Thiotrichaceae
Description: 6S / SsrS RNA
Rfam family: 6S / SsrS RNA
About the family: E. coli 6S RNA was the first non coding RNA to be sequenced, but its function was unknown until recently.
Source: Rfam by way of RNAcentral